GAGGAAUAUUGCGCAAUGGCCGAAAGGCUGACGCAGCGACGCCGCGUGAAGGAUGAAGUUCGUUAGAAUGUAAACUUCUUUUGUAGGGGAUGAAUGUGCCGGUUUCCGGCAUUGACCGUACCCUGCGAAUAAGGAUCGGCUAACUACGUGCCAGCAGCCGCGGUAAUACGUAGGAUCCGAGCGUUGUCCGGAUUUACUGGGUGUAAAGGGCGUGUAGGUGGGUCUCUAAGUCGGUGGUGAAAGCCCGCAGCUUAACUGCGGAAUUGCCAUUGAUACUGGAGGUCUUGAGUACGGCAGAGGGAAAUGGAAUUCAUGGUGUAGCGGUGAAAUGUGUAGAUAUCAUGAAGAACACCGGUAGCGAAGGCGGUUUCCUGGUCCGUAACUGACACUGAGGCGCGAAAGCGUGGGGAGCAAAC
Molecule: ribosomal RNA, 416 nt
Filed under: uncultured bacterium
Lineage: Bacteria
Description: bacterial SSU rRNA
Rfam family: Bacterial small subunit ribosomal RNA
Source: RNAcentral